Molecule: ribosomal RNA, 484 nt
Filed under: uncultured bacterium
Lineage: Bacteria
Description: partial 16S ribosomal RNA
Rfam family: Bacterial small subunit ribosomal RNA
Source: RNAcentral
GACGAACGCUGGCGGCGUGCUUAACACAUGCAAGUCGAACGAUGAAGCCGGAGCUUGCUCUGGUGAAUUAGUGGCGAACGGGUGAGUAACACGUGAGUAACCUGCCCUUGACUCUGGGAUAACUGCGGGAAACUGUAGCUAAUACCGGAUACGACCCUCGGAGGCAUCUCCUGGGGGUGGAAAGAAUUUCGGUCAAGGAUGGACUCGCGGCCUAUCAGCUAGUUGGUGAGGUAAAGGCUCACCAAGGCGACGACGGGUAGCCGGCCUGAGAGGGUGACCGGCCACACUGGGACUGAGACACGGCCCAGACUCCGACGGGAGGCAGCAGUGGGGAAUAUUGCACAAUGGGCGCAAGCCUGAUGCAGCAACGCCGCGUGAGGGAUGACGGCCUUCGGGUUGUAAACCUCUUUUAGCAGGGAAGAAGCGAAAGUGACGGUACCCGCAGAAAAAGCACCGGCUAACUACGUGCCAGCAGCCGCGGUAA